RNAcentral lists this ribosomal RNA (499 nucleotides) under uncultured Glomeromycotina. RNAcentral's name for it is "partial small subunit ribosomal RNA". It matches the Rfam family "Eukaryotic small subunit ribosomal RNA", at positions 591 to 1092 of the family's 1831-position model. The record is from RNAcentral. Lineage: Eukaryota; Fungi; Glomeromycota.
CCAAUAGCGUAUAUUAAAGUUGCUGCAGUUAAAAAGCUCGUAGUUGAAUUUCGGGACCAAUAUGUCGGUCGUGCCUCGGUACGUACUGGCAUCGUUGGUUUCUCCCUUCUGACGAACCAUGAUGUCAUUUAUUUGGUGUCGUGGGGAAUCAGGACUGUUACUUUGAAAAAAUUAGAGUGUUUAAAGCAGGCUCACGCUUGAAUACAUUAGCAUGGAAUAAUGAAAUAGGACGUUUGAUUCUAUUUUGUUGGUUUCUAGGAUCGACGUAAUGAUUAAUAGGGAUAGUUGGGGGCAUUAGUAUUCAAUUGUCAGAGGUGAAAUUCUUGGAUUUAUUGAAGACUAACUACUGCGAAAGCAUUUGCCAAGGAUGUUUUCAUUAAUCAAGAACGAAAGUUAGGGGAUCGAAGACGAUCAGAUACCGUCGUAGUCUUAACCAUAAACUAUGCCGACUAGGGAUCGGAUGAUGUUAAUUUUUUAAUGACUCAUUCGGCGCCUUAUG